RNAcentral lists this ribosomal RNA (300 nucleotides) under uncultured Acidobacteriota bacterium. RNAcentral describes it as "bacterial SSU rRNA". It matches the Rfam family "Bacterial small subunit ribosomal RNA", at positions 114 to 400 of the family's 1533-position model. Lineage: Bacteria; Pseudomonadati; Acidobacteriota. The record is from RNAcentral.
CACGUGGGUAAUCUACCUAGGAGCGGGGGAUAACCUGGGGAAACUCGGGCUAAUACCGCGUACGUUGAUGGGGUUUCGGUCCUGUCAAGAAAGCUGGCCUCUAUUUAUAAGCUAGCGCUCUUAGAGGAGCCCGCGGCUGAUUAGCUAGUUGGUGAGGUAAUGGCUCACCAAGGCGACGAUCAGUAGCCGGCCUGAGAGGGUGAUCGGCCACACUGGGACUGAGACACGGCCCAGACUCCUACGGGAGGCAGCAGUGGGGAAUAUUGGACAAUGGGCGCAAGCCUGAUCCAGCAACGCCGC